GCACCUCCUCCUCCUCCUCCCUGCCGGGGUGAAACUCGAGCGCCCCACCCGCGCCUUGACCUCCCCGAGCCCCUCCCCGGGCCCCGCCCCUUCCCUGUACAGGACCCCCACCUUCGCUCCUGGGAGCCCCGCUGCACCCCAGGAGUUCCAUUCCAGCCUCCCCAGUGCGAGUGCGGCGGAACGCUGACUUUCGGGGGCUCCCUCCCCCGUCUCACUGGGUCCCUCUGCGUCUCCCCCGCCCGCUGUCCCGGCUCAGACGUGGCUGCACCCCGGAGGGGGGCGCCGGCCGAGACCUGAGACGUGGCGCUCCAGCUCUGCCGGCCUCGGCUUCAGUGCUUGAAUUUCAGCCACAUCCCUAAGCUGCCGUCAGACCAGAGGAACAGGGAGGGGGGCUUUCCGGAAAGAACAUCACCAUCACGUGGAAGAAAUCAGGACAUGACCGUGGGCCAUGAGUGACCUUCAAAGGAAAGCCGGGUAUCUCUGGUCUUUAAGAUGUGGUAAGAGUGUAUUAAAAUUAUAGAAAAAACCUCAAUCCAGAAA
This is a long non-coding RNA of Nomascus leucogenys (northern white-cheeked gibbon), 540 nucleotides long. RefSeq lists it as uncharacterized. The record is from RefSeq and is a predicted model, not a curated record. The transcript has 2 exons. NCBI's taxonomy places the organism in Eukaryota, Metazoa, Chordata, Mammalia, Primates, Hylobatidae.